AAGUCGUAACAAGGUUUCCGUAGGUGAACCUGCGGAAGGAUCAUUAAUGAGAACUUGCCCUUCGGGGUAGAUCUCCCACCCUCUGUUUAUUAUACUUUGUUGCUUUGGCAGGCCCGUCCUCGGACCGCCGGCCUCGGCUGGCCAGCGCCUGCCAGAGACUCAAAACUCUGAUUACAUAUUGUCUGAGUACUAUUUUAAUAGUUAAAACUUUCAACAACGGAUCUCUUGGUUCUGGCAUCGAUGAAGAACGCAGCGAAAUGCGAUAAGUAAUGUGAAUUGCAGAAUUCAGUGAAUCAUCGAAUCUUUGAACGCACAUUGCGCCUCCUGGUAUUCCGGGGGGCAUGCCUGUUCGAGCGUCAUUUCAGCCCUCAAGCACUGCUUGGUGUUGGGGUCCUACGGCUGCCGUAGACCCUGAAAGAAAGUGGCGGGCUCGCUACAACUCCGAGCGUAGUAGAAUCCUAUCUCGCUAGGGAGGUGCGGCGUGUCCCGGCCGUUAAAGUCCCAUCUUUAACCCAAGGUUGACCUCGGAUCAGGUAGGAAUACCCGCUGAACUUAA
Molecule: ribosomal RNA, 556 nt
Filed under: Ascomycota sp. S-18
Lineage: Eukaryota; Fungi; Ascomycota
Description: eukaryotic LSU rRNA
Rfam family: 5.8S ribosomal RNA (bases 206-359)
Source: RNAcentral